This 201-nucleotide unclassified non-coding RNA is filed under the name Actinia tenebrosa (Australian red waratah sea anemone). Its description in RNAcentral is "uncharacterized LOC116309098, transcript variant X7". Lineage: Eukaryota; Metazoa; Cnidaria; Anthozoa; Actiniaria; Actiniidae. The record is from RNAcentral.
GUGGUGGCAGGUCCCAUGGGUUGCAUUGGUAGGUUCGUCUUUUUCUGUCCAGAUUUACUAACUCGCUAAAUAUUUGAUUUUUUAACUCUCAAAACAGCUGCAAAACAGUGCUAGUUUCACAAUGAGUGGUACUUGUGACAGUGGUCUUGAAGCAAAGCUUGAAAAACUUGGUAUUUUUCCGCUGGACAAAUAGCUGGCAUC